Non-coding RNA from Otolemur garnettii (small-eared galago), 197 nucleotides. Lineage: Eukaryota; Metazoa; Chordata; Mammalia; Primates; Galagidae. The record is from Rfam.
UGGACCCGGCGCCUCGCCCCCAGAUCUGCAUCGGAAUGCAGAAAAGAUCUUUAAAAAAAAAAAAAAGUUUUGAAUUCCUCAAUGAUUUUUCUUCUGGAAAGGCAGCUUAGGAUAAUUAUUUCAGCUUUAUUGAGGGCAGAUUAGUUAAAGUCUGGGCGCUGCGUUUCAAUACGCGUUGUACACGGCCGACAAUGUGG